Cervus elaphus (red deer) is the source of this 777-nucleotide long non-coding RNA. RefSeq lists it as uncharacterized. The record is from RefSeq and is a predicted model, not a curated record. Lineage: Eukaryota; Metazoa; Chordata; Mammalia; Artiodactyla; Cervidae. The transcript has 2 exons.
AGACAGGGCUCAGUGUGGGCUUCCAGGGGAGCUGUGUGUGUGAGAGAGAGACAGGGCUCAGUGUGGGCUUCCAGGGGAGCUGUGUGUGUGAGAGAGAGAGGGCUUAGUGUGGGCUUCCAGGGGAGCUGCGUGUGUGUGUGUGUGUGAUAGAGAGACAGGGCUUAGUGUGGGCUUCCAGGGGAGCUGUGUGUGUGAGAGAGAGACAGGGCUCAGUGUGGGCUUCCAGGGGAGCUGCGUGUGUGUGUGUGUGUGUGUGUGUGUGAGAGAGAGAGAGAGACAGGGUUUAGUGUGGGCUUCGAGGGGAGCUGUGUGUGUGAGAGAGAUAGGGCUCAGUGUGGGCUUCCAGGGGAGCUGCGUGUGUGUGUGUGUGUGUGUGUGUGUGUGUGUGUGUGUGUGAGAGAGAGACAGGGUUUAGUGUGGGCUUCCAGGGGAGCUGUGUGUGUGAGAGAGAUAGGGCUCAGUGUGGGCUUCCAGGGGAGCUGCGUGUGUGUGUGUGUGUGUGGGAGCUGUGUGUGUGAGAGAGAUAGGGCUUAGUGUGGGCUUCCAGGGGAGCUGCGUGUGUGUGUGUGAGAGAGAGAUAGGGCUCAGUGUGGGCUUCCAGGGGAGGUUGUGUGUGUGUGUGUGUGUGUGUGUGUGUGUGUGUGUGAGACAGGGCUUAGCGUGGGCUUCCAGGGGAGCUGCGUGUGUGUGUGUGUGUGUGUCUGUGUGUGUAUGUGUGAGACAGGGUUUAGUGUGGGUUUCCAGGGGAGCUGCGUGUGUGUGUAUGUGUGAGACAGG